This 305-nucleotide ribosomal RNA is filed under the name uncultured bacterium. Its description in RNAcentral is "bacterial SSU rRNA". It matches the Rfam family "Bacterial small subunit ribosomal RNA", at positions 338 to 641 of the family's 1533-position model. The record is from RNAcentral.
CCUACGGGGGGCAGCAGUGAGGAAUAUUGGUCAAUGGGCGGGAGCCUGAACCAGCCAAGCCGCGUGAGGGAAGAAGGUACAGCGUAUAGUAAACCUCUUUUGUCAGGGAACAAAGGCGGGGACUAGUCCCCGGAUGAGGGUACCUGAAGAAAAAGCAUCGGCUAACUCCGUGCCAGCAGCCGCGGUAAUACGGAGGAUGCGAGCGUUAUCCGGAUUUAUUGGGUUUAAAGGGUGCGCAGGCGGCCUGUUAAGUCAGCGGUAAAAGCCCGGGGCUCAACCCCGUCGUGCCGUUGAAACUGAUGUUC